UACGAAGGGGGCUAGCGUUGUUCGGAAUUACUGGGCGUAAAGAACGCGUAGGCGGUCUAGCAAGUUAGAAGUGAAAGCCCGGGGCUUAACCUCGGAAUUGCUUCUAAAACUGCUAAACUAGAGUGCGACAGGGGAUGAUGGAAUUCCUAGUGUAGAGGUGAAAUUCUUAGAUAUUAGGAGGAACACCGGUGGCGAAGGCGGUCAUCUGGGUCGAUACUGACGCUGAGGCGUGAAAGCGUGGGGAGCAAACAGG
RNAcentral lists this ribosomal RNA (253 nucleotides) under uncultured bacterium. Its description in RNAcentral is "partial 16S ribosomal RNA". It matches the Rfam family "Bacterial small subunit ribosomal RNA", at positions 524 to 776 of the family's 1533-position model. The record is from RNAcentral.